CCCAGCCAAGUGCCAUCAAGAUCAGCAAACUCUCUGUCAGCCUGCAGACAAGUUUUAAUCUAGCCAAUACUCUGGCCAGUAGGAACCCAGGAGCCCAGAAGCCCCAGGCCUGAUCCAUUCCGGCAAUUAUGGUGAGAGGGUGUCAGCAAUCAAAACCUUGACUUCAGAGAGACAGACAGAAAAGGACAGAGAGAGAGAGAGAGAGAAUGAGAACAACAAAAAUAAAUUGCCUAAGGGCACAU
RNAcentral lists this long non-coding RNA (242 nucleotides) under Macaca mulatta (Rhesus monkey). RNAcentral describes it as "lncRNA (ENSMMUG00000062102.1)". The record is from RNAcentral. Lineage: Eukaryota; Metazoa; Chordata; Mammalia; Primates; Cercopithecidae.